GAUGAACGCUGGCGGCGUGCCUAAUACAUGCAAGUCGAGCGAACAGACGAGGAGCUUGCUCCUCUGACGUUAGCGGCGGACGGGUGAGUAACACGUGGAUAACCUACCUAUAAGACUGGGAUAACUUCGGGAAACCGGAGCUAAUACCGGAUAAUAUAUUGAACCGCAUGGUUCAAUAGUGAAAGACGGUUUUGCUGUCACUUAUAGAUGGAUCCGCGCCGCAUUAGCUAGUUGGUAAGGUAACGGCUUACCAAGGCGACGAUGCGUAGCCGACCUGAGAGGGUGAUCGGCCACACUGGAACUGAGACACGGUCAAGACUCCUACGGGAGGCAGCAGUAGGGAAUCUUCCGCAAUGGGCGAAAGCCUGACGGAGCAACGCCGCGUGAGUGAUGAAGGUCUUCGGAUCGUAAAACUCUGUUAUUAGGGAAGAACAAAUGUGUAAGUAACUAUGCACGUCUUGACGGUACCUAAUCAGAAAGCCACGGCUAACUACGUG
This 497-nucleotide ribosomal RNA is filed under the name uncultured bacterium. RNAcentral's name for it is "partial 16S ribosomal RNA". It matches the Rfam family "Bacterial small subunit ribosomal RNA", at positions 28 to 507 of the family's 1533-position model. The record is from RNAcentral.